Molecule: ribosomal RNA, 373 nt
Filed under: uncultured organism
Description: partial 16S ribosomal RNA
Rfam family: Bacterial small subunit ribosomal RNA
Source: RNAcentral
GUAGGUGGCAAGUGUUGUCCGGAAUUAUUGGGCGUAAAGCGCGCGCAGGCGGUCCUUUAAGUCUGAUGUGAAAGCCCACGGCUCAACCGUGGAGGGUCAUUGGAAACUGGGGGACUUGAGUACAGAAGAGGAAAGCGGAAUUCCAAGUGUAGCGGUGAAAUGCGUAGAGAUUUGGAGGAACACCAGUGGCGAAGGCGGCUUUCUGGUCUGUAACUGACGCUGAGGCGCGAAAGCGUGGGGAGCAAACAGGAUUAGAUACCCUGGUAGUCCACGCCGUAAACGAUGAGUGCUAAGUGUUAGGGGGUUUCCCGCCCCCUUAGUGCUGCAGCUAACGCAUUAAGCACUCCGCCUGGGGAGUACGGCCGCAAGGCUG